Molecule: non-coding RNA, 212 nt
Organism: Pelobates cultripes (western spadefoot toad)
Lineage: Eukaryota; Metazoa; Chordata; Amphibia; Anura; Pelobatidae
Source: the annotation of a GenBank genome assembly
GUAAGUCUGCUCCAUACUUGUAAGUAAGAUUUUAUUAAUUUUAUUUACCUGUAUUAUAUUACUGAGAGCACUAUCUGUGGCUGUCUUUUCUGUUUCGAGUACCUAGAUUACCAUCUACGGUGAAAGACUACGACCAUCAUAUCCCAUGAGUGGGGAUUAUAACACUGUAUGCGAUAUCUACUAGAGCUGGUCAUAGCUCUUGUCCAUGUGAG